AACGAACGCUGGCGGCAUGCCUAACACAUGCAAGUCGAACGAGACCUUCGGGUCUAGUGGCGCACGGGUGCGUAACGCGGGGGAACCUGCCCUUAGGUUCGGAAUAACUCCCCGAGGGGUGUGCUAAUACCGGAUAAUGUCUUCGGACCAAAGAUUUAUCGCCUUUGGAUGGGCCCGCGUUGGAUUAGCUGGUUGGUAGGGUAAAAGCCUACCAAGGCGACGAUCCAUAGCUGGUCGGUGAGGAGGACCAGCCACACUGGGACUGAGACACGGCCCAGACUCCUACGGGAGGCAGCAGUGGGGAAUACUGUACGAGGGGCGAAAGUCUGAUCCAGCAAUGCGGCGGGAGUGAUGAAGGCCUUAGGGUUGUAAAGCUCUUUGACCCGGGACGAUAAUGACAGUACCGGGAGAAUAAGCUCCGGCUAACUCCGUG
This 433-nucleotide ribosomal RNA is filed under the name uncultured bacterium. RNAcentral's name for it is "partial 16S ribosomal RNA". It matches the Rfam family "Bacterial small subunit ribosomal RNA", at positions 29 to 507 of the family's 1533-position model. The record is from RNAcentral.